Molecule: ribosomal RNA, 451 nt
Filed under: uncultured bacterium
Lineage: Bacteria
Description: bacterial SSU rRNA
Rfam family: Bacterial small subunit ribosomal RNA
Source: RNAcentral
UACGGAAGCAGCAGUGGGGAAUAUUGCACAAUGGGCGCAAGCCUGAUGCAGCCAUGCCGCGUGUAUGAAAAAGGCCUUCGGGUUGUAAAGUACUUUCAGUCGUGAGGAAGGUGUUAAGGUUAAUAACCUUAGCAAUUGACGUUAGCGACAGAAGAAGCACCGGCUAACUCCGUGCCAGCAGCCGCGGUAAUACGGAGGGUGCGAGCGUUAAUCGGAAUUACUGGGCUAAAGGGCACGCAGGCGGUUAAUUAAGUUGGAUGUGAAAUCCCCGGGCUUAACCUGGGAAUGGCAUUCAAGACUGGUUAGCUAGAGUCUUGUAGAGGGGGUAGAAUUCCAUGUGUAGCGGUGAAAUGCGUAGAGAUGUGGAGGAAUACCGGUGGCGAAGGCGGCCCCUGGACAAAGACUGACGCUCAUGUGCGAAAGCGUGGGGAGCAAACAGGGAUUAGAUACC